RNAcentral lists this long non-coding RNA (1041 nucleotides) under Oryzias sinensis (Chinese medaka). RNAcentral describes it as "lncRNA (ENSOSIG00000022692.1)". Lineage: Eukaryota; Metazoa; Chordata; Actinopteri; Beloniformes; Adrianichthyidae. The record is from RNAcentral.
AUGAAUAAAUACUCCCCAGAAUUCAGCAUUCCUUCAUUUCAAGAAGAGACACAGAAAAGUAAUCAGCUAUCAAGAAUAAGAAAAAUGAUGCAACAGGAAAAAAACGUUUCAAAACUCUGGGCCGAUAUUGUUGAUAAUGAGAGUGACGUCGUCUUGGAUGACGACUUUUAUAACAUGAUUGUCUUCCCCGAGGAAAGUUCCAGUGAGGAGACCAGUCAGGACUCUCUCAUCCACCAAGACAAUUCAUCUCAAAUCUCUGAUGGUGACAGGAAAUGUAGUCAGAGUGACUGUGAAGGUGAUCUGGAGGUCUACAAUAUGAUGUCCCCUGACAAUAGCUACACCGAUGAGAACGCAGAUGAGCACAGUCUGGACUCUCAAGACAAUUCAUCUCAAAUCUCUGAUGGUGACAGGAAAUUUAGUCAGAGUGACUUUGAAGGAGAUCUUGAGUUUUACUACUCGAUGUCCCCUGACAAUAGCUACACUGAUGAGAACGCCGAUGAGCACAGUCUGGACUCUCCCACCCCCAGAGAAUAUCCCUUUGGACCCUCUGAUUCUGAAAAUACUGAUAGUGAGGAUAACAAUUCAAGUGAUUCUGAUUCAGAAGACUCAACAUCAGAGGAGUCUCAAGAAGAAAUAGACGUCAACGAUCUUAAUGGAUUGACCUCACUGCGCAAGAAGCUAAAAAGCUGUUUAGCUAAGAGGGAAAGGAACAUCGCCAAAAAACUGGACUUCAUAAAGAAAUAUGAGCAGGAGGCACUUAAGGCUGAUGAAGAUUGGUUGUUUUCUGAAAAAAGUAUUGAGCAGGAGCGUCACAUUAGACAAGAGAGUCGAAAGGAAAUCAGAGAACUUGAGGAGAAGAUCCAGAAUGUGACAGAGUUCCUCAAGGGUGAAAAGAAACCAAGCUACUCAGAGGGUUACAAGGCAGUUUUAAAAGAGACAGAAAUGGUCACAAAUCAACUGCUUGAAAUCAAGAAUCUAAAUUUACACAUGGAAGAUCAAAUUGGAAAACAAAAGGAGAAAAGAGAAAAUCUAGAAAUUUAG